This 506-nucleotide ribosomal RNA is filed under the name Hypocreales sp. S9. Its description in RNAcentral is "eukaryotic LSU rRNA". The stretch from base 122 to 275 matches the Rfam family "5.8S ribosomal RNA". Lineage: Eukaryota; Fungi; Ascomycota; Sordariomycetes; Hypocreales. The record is from RNAcentral.
CCCCGGACCAAGGCGCCCGCCGGAGGACCAACCAAAACUCUUAUUGUAUACCCCCUCGCGGGUUUUUUUUAUAAUCUGAGCCUUCUCGGCGCCUCUCGUAGGCGUUUCGAAAAUGAAUCAAAACUUUCAACAACGGAUCUCUUGGUUCUGGCAUCGAUGAAGAACGCAGCGAAAUGCGAUAAGUAAUGUGAAUUGCAGAAUUCAGUGAAUCAUCGAAUCUUUGAACGCACAUUGCGCCCGCCAGUAUUCUGGCGGGCAUGCCUGUCCGAGCGUCAUUUCAACCCUCGAACCCCUCCGGGGGGUCGGCGUUGGGGAUCGGCCCUGCCUUGGCGGUGGCCGUCUCCGAAAUACAGUGGCGGUCUCGCCGCAGCCUCUCCUGCGCAGUAGUUUGCACACUCGCAUCGGGAGCGCGGCGCGUCCACAGCCGUUAAACACCCAACUUCUGAAAUGUUGACCUCGGAUCAGGUAGGAAUACCCGCUGAACUUAAGCAUAUCAAAAGGCCGGA